GAUAAACGCUGGCGGCGCACAUAAGACAUGCAAGUCGAACGGAAGUCGUUAUUAAACAGAUUGAAGAUUUAUCUGAUUGAAGUUUGAUAACAAUGGCUUUAGUGGCGGACUGGUGAGUAACGCGUAAGCAAUCUACCUAUUAGAGGGGAAUAACAAUGAGAAAUCAUUGCUAAUACCGCAUAUGCCAUAUGAACCACAUGGUUCGAGUGGGGAAAGGAGCAAUCCGCUAAUAGAUGAGCUUGCGUCUGAUUAGUUAGUUGGUGGGGUAACGGCCUACCAAGACGACGAUCAGUAGCCGGGACUGAGAGGUUGAACGGCCACAUUGGGACUGAGAUACGGCCCCAGACUCCUACGGGAGGCAGCAGUCGGGAAUAUUGCGCAAUGGAGGAAACUCUGACGCAGUGACGCCGCGUAUAGGAGAAGGUUUUCGGAUUGAAACUAUUGUCGUUAGGGAAGAAAAAGACAGUACCUAAGGAGGAGU
RNAcentral lists this ribosomal RNA (481 nucleotides) under uncultured bacterium. Its description in RNAcentral is "bacterial SSU rRNA". It matches the Rfam family "Bacterial small subunit ribosomal RNA", at positions 28 to 490 of the family's 1533-position model. The record is from RNAcentral.